RNAcentral lists this ribosomal RNA (450 nucleotides) under uncultured bacterium. Its description in RNAcentral is "bacterial SSU rRNA". It matches the Rfam family "Bacterial small subunit ribosomal RNA", at positions 340 to 783 of the family's 1533-position model. The record is from RNAcentral.
UACGGCAGGCAGCAGUGGGGAAUAUUGCACAAUGGGCGCAAGCCUGAUGCAGCCAUGCCGCGUGUAUGAAGAAGGCCUUCGGGUUGUAAAGUACUUUCAGUCGUGAGGAAGGUGUUAAGGUUAAUAACCUUAGCAAUUGACGUUAGCGACAGAAGAAGCACCGGCUAACUCCGUGCCAGCAGCCGCGGUAAUACGGAGGGUGCGAGCGUUAAUCGGAAUUACUGGGCGUAAAGGGCACGCAGGCGGUUAAUUAAGUUGGAUGUGAAAUCCCCGGGCUUAACCUGGGAAUGGCAUUCAAGCUGGUUAGCUAGAGUCUUGUAGAGGGGGUAGAAUUCCAUGUGUAGCGGUGAAAUGCGUAGAGAUGUGGAGGAAUACCGGUGGCGAAGGCGGCCCCUGGGACAAAGACUGACGCUCAUGUGCGAAAGCGUGGGGAGCAAACGAGGAUUAGAU